Magallana angulata is the source of this 938-nucleotide long non-coding RNA. RefSeq lists it as uncharacterized. NCBI's taxonomy places the organism in Eukaryota, Metazoa, Mollusca, Bivalvia, Ostreida, Ostreidae. The record is from RefSeq and is a predicted model, not a curated record. The transcript has 2 exons.
UCUUUAAAAAUCUUCUUCUCAGAAAUUAAUCAGCAAGAUGAUUCUUUAUAAUUGUUAAAACCAUGGCUCCAGGACAAAUCAUCGGCCUCACAAGAAGGUUCAGAGUUUGAUGUAGCUAAAUAUCCCAUAUAUAAACAAUUGUAAAGGAUCUUUUUGAGAACUGCAAUACUCAACAUAUGAUAUGACUAUAAAAUUGAAGCAGGCAGCUAUUUUUUCAUUGGAAUCUUUUUGUAUUACUGUAUUGAGUUAUUGCCCUUGAUUUAUUGAUUCUUGAUUAUUUUAAUUAAUGCAUCCACUGUUAAUCAAUUAUUGUGAUGAUUAUUUUUAUACAAUAAUAAAUAUUCAAUGUAUAUAAGUUGUUCUGCAUAAGAAGUCUUGGGUUAGGCCGGAUUAGUUUGUUUAUUUUUGAUUUCCAAUUUUUAGAUACUAUGAAUUAUUUUAGGCCGGCACAUAUAUAGGGACAGUGUCUAUUGCAUUAUGAUGAGCGUCUGUUUGGGGUUAAACUUGAACAGGUAUGGAUAAAUUGAAUGUGUGAACAUCCCUGCUCUAUUUAAUCUACGUGUUUUCUAACCUUCGAUACAAAGUGUGCGGUCAUUCAUGUCGUGUAUCGCAUUAAUACAAGUGUGCAGUCAUACCUGCUUGUAUUAGUGGUGGUUGCGGCGGAGCACUAAUGUAUGGUCAUCCCUGCUGGUGUUCAGGCCUUUCUAGCGCAAGUGUGCGGCACUCCCUGCUUGCGUUAGGUUGAGCUGUUGGCGCAAGUGUGCGGUCAUCCCUGCCUGCGUAAUGUUGAGUCCCUAUAUAUGUGCAGGAGCGGUGAUUAAAGUCUGCUCUUGUAAAUAUUGGCAGCAAUCAGGGCUAUCCGAGUUCCAAGGGGGAAAAAUGGAUUUUAUUUAUACAGGAUCUACAUGUAUUAUUGUACAUUGUCCAGAUUGUUUGUA